UUUCCGUAGGUGAACCUGCGGAAGGAUCAUUAUUGUAUAACCGAGGUGCGAGGGCUGUCGCUGACCCGAAAGGUCGUGCACGCCCGAGUGCCCUCACACACAUCCAUCUCACCCUAUGUGCACCACCGCGUGGGUCCCCCUUUGGCUUGUUCGGAGGGGGGCUUACGUUUUCACACAAACUUAGUAUGCAGUGUAGAAUGUAUUUUUUGUUUUUGCGAUCACGCAAUCAAUACAACUUUCAACAACGGAUCUCUUGGCUCUC
RNAcentral lists this unclassified non-coding RNA (262 nucleotides) under plant metagenome. RNAcentral describes it as "partial contains small subunit ribosomal RNA, internal transcribed spacer 1, and 5.8S ribosomal RNA". The record is from RNAcentral.